GUACCCCUGUCAGUUUGACUGCCACGUAGCUAUCAAUUGGGCUAGACUCCAUACAAGUUUGCUGCACACUUGUUAGUCAGGCCUAGUCGGCUUAGUUGUGUACUCUGGUGUGAUUAAUCUAUCUAUCCAACCAGAAACCACUGAAAUGUUACUUUUAUAUUUUUGCCAAUUUUUUUCGUGCUUUUUAUAUAUAUGAAUGGCGCUAAACUACCCGAACCAGUGGUGAAAAUUGAGGUUUUGCAUAAACCCUUUGCCUGCUUUCAGAAGUCGAAAUAUGGAGACAUACUUCUUGUGCACUUUGAGGGAUUUCUGGAGAGCAAUGGCACCAUGUUUCAUUCCAGCUGUAACCACAGGGACAAGAAGCCAGUGUGGUUCACCCUGGGGAUCUGAGAGGUGAUCAAUGGUUGGGAUAAGGGGCUGAAGAACAUGUGUCCAGGAGGGAGGAGGGAGCUCAUUAGCCCCCCCAGCUCUGGCCUAUGGCAAAGAGGGAAAAGGUGAAGGAAGAAAGAGUUUGAAAGACAUGGCUACCCUACACGCGUCAUGAGGCGAUGGUGCAGGACUUAUUCAUAUCUUCUAGAGAGUUUACCUACAAACAUAAUGAGCUGUAGAAGUCUGAAAUGGUUUACAGUAGGUCAAGCGACUGUCUGUGUCGUUAGCCCAGGUAUAAACCAGCCUUUACUCCUAUUAACAUGACAUUUUAACUGUUUAAUCGGUCAUGAACGUACAAUUAAAGUGUUCUGAGGAGCGCUCAGGAUUUACUGCUUUAUAUUUAUGUGAUAUGGGUAUUUUUCUGGGUUUUGCGGGUAUGAAAAUGCCAUUUUUUAAUGUUUUUAUUUUACUAGGCAAGUCAGUGACUUGAACAAAUUCUUAUUUACAAUGACGGUCUACCGGGGAAUAGUGGGUUAACUGCCUUGUUCAGGGGCAGAACAAUAGAUUUGAUCCAGCAACCUUUCGGUUACUGGCCUAACACUCUAACCACUAGGCUACCUGCCUCCCCAACUGCCUUGAAGACGUAUCAUAGAGAACACUAAAUCCAUCCAUUUCUACCCAAUGUGACCCAUGUACAGUUAUUCACAUUCAUUUCAAUGAUUUUCUGUAUAGAUACAUAUUUUUGUGUUAGUCUUUAGUUCAAGUACAAGGUUGAUGGUGAAUGAUGGGGUCACCAGUUUGUAAAGUAUCAUACAGUAUUCAUAAGAAUAUCUGUAUUUGUCAGCCACUGAAAUAAAAUGCCUUUUCAUAAAUCUCUCAGGAGAGUCAUGUACUCCCCACACCCCAUGGCAAACAUGGCCAAGUUGCAACUGUGCCACCAAGGCCUAGAGAGGCACUGAUAGUAGAGUACAGGAUGAACAGUAGAGGGCGCUCUUUCUUCUGUUUUCAUACCAAUACCCAAAGUCCAGAACAACUCCUUUGCUUACUUGGAGAGAACAGUUGAAGUGAAAAGCUCACAGAAGCCAUUCCAUCACAAAUAUUUGUCCCCCUUUUUCACACCAUCUGUAACACGGGUGAAUAAGCAGAUUACAUAGAGCAGCGGGGAAUACAGUAUGUACUUCUGCAUGAAUCUGAGUUGAAAAAUAAUUAACCAGAUCAUUCCUUUAUACUGUACAUUUCACUUAAAUAAGGUCGUCAGUCAGCCAUUAUCCAGUCCCGGCACUGUCAUUAUCAGGUCAUGGCACUGUCAUUAGCAACCAUUAUCAGGUCCUGGCACUGUCAUUAGCAGUCAUUAUCAGGUCCUGGCACUGUCAUUAGCAACCAUUAUCAGGUCCUGGCACUGUCAUUAGCAACCAUUAUCAGGUCCUGGGACUGUCAUUAGCAACCAUUAUCAGGUCCUGGCACUGUCAUUAGAAGCCAUUAUCAGAUCCUUGCACUGUCAUUAGCAACCAUUAUCAGGUCCUGGCACUGUCAUUAGAAGCCAUUAUCAGGUCCUGGCACUGUCAUUAGCAGCCAUUAUCAGGUCCUGGCACUGUCAUUAGCAGCCAUUAUCAGGUCCUGGCACUGUCAUUAGCAACCAUGCCGUUCACAUGAACCAUAAUGAGUUACAGUAGCUACCUCGAAUCCAGUAAGGAGGAACUGGUCAUUCGGAUCUAUCAAUAAUUUAUUGUAAUAAGCCAAGGUAAUUCUGUUUCUAAUAAUGGUGCUCUAAAAGGCAAGAAUGUAUGAUUUAAAAAUAACCCCAGUAGCCCCAGGGAAGCUGCCGUCUAAACAUUUCACCGCACCCAGAGGCCUAGCAAUAGAACAAUGACAAUGGCUACAUCUAUUGUGUGGUUCGAGGCCAUGCAUCCAUUGAUCUUCUAGAAACCAGGAUAAACCAGAAUCUUGAAAAUUCUAAAUGUGUAUAGACAUCUAGAUGAAUUUAGAUUUCUAGAUAUAGUUAGACUUUUAGAUGUAUUUAGACUUCUAGGUGUAUUUAGACUUCUAGGUGUAUUUAGACUUCUAGGUGUAUUUAGACUUCUAGGUGUAUUUAGACUUCUAGAUGUAUUUAGACUUUUAGACUUUUAGGUGUAUUUAGACUUCUAGAUGUAUUUAGACUUCUAGGUGUAUUUAGACUUCUAGAUGUAUUUAGACUUCUAGAUGUAUUUAGACUUCUAGGUGUAUUUAGACUUUUAGACUUCUAGGUGUAUUUAGACUUCUAGAUGUAUUUAGACUUCUAGAUGUAUUUAGACUUUUAGACUUUUAGGUGUAUUUAGACUUCUAGAUGUAUUUAGACUUCUAGGUGUAUUUAGACUUCUAGGUGUAUUUAGACUUUUAGAUGUAUUUAGACUUUUAGACUUCUAGGUGUAUUUAGACUUCUAGAUGUAUUUAGACUUCUAGGUGUAUUUAGACUUCUAGAUGUAUUUAGACUUUUAGACUUUUAGGUGUAUUUAGACUUCUAGAUGUAUUUAGACUUCUAGAUGUAUUUAGACUUCUAGGUGUAUUUAGACUUCUAGGUGUAUUUAGACUUUUAGAUGUAUUUAGACUUUUAGACUUCUAGGUGUAUUUAGACUUCUAGGUGUAUUUAGACUUCUAGAUGUAUUUAGACUUUUAGACUUUUAGGUGUAUUUAGACUUCUAGAUGUAUUUAGACUUCUAGAUGUAUUUAGACUUCUAGGUGUAUUUAGACUUCUAGGUGUAUUUAGACUUCUAGGUGUAUUUAGACUUUUAGAUGUAUUUAGACUUUUAGACUUCUAGGUGUAUUUAGACUUCUAGGUGUAUUUAGACUUCUAGGUGUAUUUAGACUUCUAGGUGUAUUUAGACUUCUAUGUGUAUUUAGACUUUUAGAUGUAUUUAGACUUUUAGACUUUUAGAUGUAUUUAGACUUUUAGACUUCUAGGUGUAUUUAGACUUCUAGGUGUAUUUAGACUUCUAGGUGUAUUUAGACUUUUAGAUGUAUUUAGACUUUUAGACUUUUAGAUGUAUUUAGACUUUUAGACUUCUAGGUGUAUUUAGACUUCUAGGUGUAUUUAGACUUUUAGAUGUAUUUAGACUUCCAUCCUAAUAUGUAUAUAUUUCUUAAUUCCAAUUCUUUUACUUUUUAGAUGUGUGUAUUGUUUUGGAUUGUUAGAUAUUACUGUUGGAACUAGGAACAUAUCCAUUUUGCUAUACCCGCAAUAACAUUUGCUAAAUAUGUAUGUGUGACAAAUAAAAUUUUAUUUUAUUUGAGAUGUAUUUAGACAUUAAGAUGUAUUUAGCUUUCUUCACCAUAUCUGUUAUUAAGUGAAAAUAAAACACAAAGUAAACCAAAUAACAUAUUUACACAUUUAUUUACAAUAUUGUAGAUGUUUUUUCUUCAUAUACAUCUCUGAAGUAAACUUUUAGCAGACUGGUAACAAUGAUGACAGAAGGCAUAGUCCAUUCAAAACAGAUAUUUUGAGAUCGUGACUAAAUAGUAAAUAUAUUAUCCACAAUAAAUAUGUAACAAA
This is a long non-coding RNA of Oncorhynchus mykiss (rainbow trout), 3895 nucleotides long. RefSeq lists it as uncharacterized. The record is from RefSeq and is a predicted model, not a curated record. NCBI's taxonomy places the organism in Eukaryota, Metazoa, Chordata, Actinopteri, Salmoniformes, Salmonidae.